AUUUAGCCCUGAUUGUAGUGGAAAUCCUGUCAUUGCGAAAGUAGAAGUAGUUUAUGAGAUUGCUUCGUCCCUCGCAAUGACAGAUUGAAACGAAAAGCAGGAAUUACG
Molecule: small RNA, 108 nt
Filed under: Flavobacterium dankookense
Lineage: Bacteria; Pseudomonadati; Bacteroidota; Flavobacteriia; Flavobacteriales; Flavobacteriaceae
Description: Flavobacterium sp. ARSA-19 Flavo-1 RNA
Rfam family: Flavo-1 RNA
Source: Rfam by way of RNAcentral